GAUGAACGCUGGCGGCGUGCCUAAUACAUGCAAGUCGAGCGAACAGAUGAGGAGCUUGCUCCUCUGACGUUAGCGGCGGACGGGUGAGUAACACGUGGAUAACCUACCUAUAAGACUGGGAUAACUUCGGGAAACCGGAGCUAAUACCGGAUAAUAUAUUGAACCGCAUGGUUCAAUAGUGAAAGACGGUUUUGCUGUCACUUAUAGAUGGAUCCGCGCCGCAUUAGCUAGUUGGUAAGGUAACGGCUUACCAAGGCAACGAUGCGUAGCCGACCUGAGAGGGGGAUCGGCCACCCUGGAACUGAGACACGGCCCAGACUCCUAGGGGAGGCAGCAGUAGGGAAUCUUCCGAAAUGGGCGAAAGCUUGACGGAGCAACGCCGCGUGGGUGAUGAAGGUCUUCGGAUCGUAAAACUCUGUUAUUAGGGAAGAACAAUUGUGUAAGUAACUAUGCACGUUUUGACGGUACCUAAGCAGAAAGCCACGGCUAACUACGU
RNAcentral lists this ribosomal RNA (496 nucleotides) under uncultured bacterium. RNAcentral's name for it is "partial 16S ribosomal RNA". It matches the Rfam family "Bacterial small subunit ribosomal RNA", at positions 28 to 506 of the family's 1533-position model. The record is from RNAcentral.